GUUUUCCAAACCUCUUUUUUUUUUCUUCUCUUCCUGUGGUUUCCACAAGUUCCUGUGUUCAUGUCUAUAUUCAGUUCUAACUGUUGAUCAUAUGUACUGUUCGUAGAUUCAAUAAUUUUUCUUUUUGGUAUUUGAUCCAUUUAUAAUUGAUGACAGCCUAACAUUUUUUAAUGUUAUGCUGCAGCACACCCACUGAAAUUAAAGAAAG
RNAcentral lists this unclassified non-coding RNA (208 nucleotides) under Hevea brasiliensis (rubber tree). The record is from RNAcentral. Lineage: Eukaryota; Viridiplantae; Streptophyta; Magnoliopsida; Malpighiales; Euphorbiaceae.